RNAcentral lists this ribosomal RNA (280 nucleotides) under Staphylococcus hominis. RNAcentral's name for it is "partial 23S ribosomal RNA". It matches the Rfam family "Bacterial large subunit ribosomal RNA", at positions 2646 to 2925 of the family's 2925-position model. The record is from RNAcentral. Lineage: Bacteria; Bacillati; Bacillota; Bacilli; Caryophanales; Staphylococcaceae.
CGUGGGCGUAGGAAAUUUGAGAGGAGCUGUCCUUAGUACGAGAGGACCGGGAUGGACAUACCUCUGGUGUACCAGUUGUCGUGCCAACGGCAUAGCUGGGUAGCUAUGUAUGAACGGGAUAAGUGCUGAAAGCAUCUAAGCAUGAAGCCCCCCUCAAGAUGAGAUUUCCCAACUUCGGUUAUAAGAUCCCUCAGAGAUGAUGAGGUUAAUAGGUUCGAGGUGGAAGCGUGGUGACACGUGGAGCUGACGAAUACUAAUCGAUCGAAGACUUAAUCAAUUU